Alosa sapidissima (American shad) is the source of this 101-nucleotide long non-coding RNA. RefSeq lists it as uncharacterized. The record is from RefSeq and is a predicted model, not a curated record. Lineage: Eukaryota; Metazoa; Chordata; Actinopteri; Clupeiformes; Clupeidae. The transcript is spliced from 3 exons.
CCGUUGUGCUCUUGAGCAACGCACUUAACCUCAAGUUGCUCCGGGGACAAUGUGAUCCCUUGUAAUAUAGCUGACAUAUACAAGCAUAUAAGGAUGACAAG